RNAcentral lists this ribosomal RNA (694 nucleotides) under uncultured Methanotrichaceae archaeon. RNAcentral describes it as "bacterial SSU rRNA". It matches the Rfam family "Archaeal small subunit ribosomal RNA", at positions 84 to 779 of the family's 1478-position model. Lineage: Archaea; Methanobacteriati; Methanobacteriota; Methanomicrobia; Methanotrichales; Methanotrichaceae. The record is from RNAcentral.
UACGGCUCAGUAACACGUGGAUAACCUACCCUUGGGACGGGGAUAAACCCGGGAAACUGGGUAUAAUACCCGAUAGUGCUUGAAUGCUGGAAUGCAUCAAGUGCAAAAGCUCCGACGCCCUAGGAUGGGUCUGCGGCCUAUCAGGUAGUAGUGGGUGUAAUGUACCUACUAGCCUACAACGGGUACGGGUUGUGAGAGCAAGAGCCCGGAGAUGGAUUCUGAGACACGAAUCCAGGCCCUACGGGGUGCAGCAGGCGCGAAACCUUUACAAUGCUGGAAACAGCGAUAGGGGAACCUCGAGUGCUAUCGUACAACGAUGGCUGUCGUUAUGCCUAAAAAGCAUGAUAUAGCAAGGGCCGGGCAAGACCGGUGCCAGCCGCCGCGGUAACACCGGCGGCUCGAGUGGUAACCGUUAUUAUUGGGUUUAAAGGGUCUGUAGCCGGCCGGAUAAGUCUCUUGGGAAAUCUGGCAGCUUAACUGUCAGGCUUUCAGGAGAUACUGUUCGGCUCGAGACCGGGAGAGGUGAGAGGUACUUCAGGGGUAGGGGUGAAAUCUUGUAAUCCUUGAAGGACCACCAGUGGCGAAGGCGUCUCACCAGAACGGAUCUGACGGCAAGGGACGAAAGCUAGGGGCACGAACCGGAUUAGAUACCCGGGUAGUCCUAGCCGUAAACAAUACUCGCUAGGUGUCGGCC